GUUAUACCUUCCAUUGUUACAAUAAGAAUAUGACCAGAGGUGGUAGUAUAAACCUGUGGUUUACGUUGCAAUUUCAUUUCAAAGUUAUAGUUUUGAUUUUGUGAGAGCUUAAGUGAAACUUUGCUUGAACGUUUGUGUUGGUGUUGUUCUCCUGGACGUGGUUCUGAGAGUCACAAAGACUGAGGUUCUGUACUGAGCCAACUUUCUGCGAGAAGCUGGUGGUAUCAGCAGGAGAUGGUUCCCAGCAUACAGUGCAAAAGAGGACAAGGCCUGCUGGGAGACUUCACCUCCAGUGAAGUGAGCACAGAGCUGCCAUUUCGUCUCAUGCACCC
Molecule: long non-coding RNA, 332 nt
Filed under: Chrysolophus pictus (golden pheasant)
Lineage: Eukaryota; Metazoa; Chordata; Aves; Galliformes; Phasianidae
Description: lncRNA (ENSCPIG00010011131.1)
Source: RNAcentral